GGCCUAUUUUAGUCCGGAGGUUGAGUCUUGGGCGCAGUUGCGUGUUCCAACAGGACGAUGACCCCAAACACACGUCAAAAGUGUCCUGAAGAAUUUGGAGGCUGACAUUGUCUCCAGUGAACAGACUGAAGGAACAUGUCAGAUCUCGACCUCCCGCCUGGACAUGGACCUUUGACGCCUCUCUCCUGCCCUUGACCUCACGCCUGCUCACGGACCUCCAAGCCUGCCUUUCCCCUCUUGGACUUCCGCCUAUCACUCAACACGCACCUUCAACAACUC
Entelurus aequoreus (snake pipefish) is the source of this 279-nucleotide long non-coding RNA. RefSeq lists it as uncharacterized. The transcript is spliced from 3 exons. The record is from RefSeq and is a predicted model, not a curated record. Lineage: Eukaryota; Metazoa; Chordata; Actinopteri; Syngnathiformes; Syngnathidae.